Molecule: ribosomal RNA, 497 nt
Filed under: uncultured bacterium
Lineage: Bacteria
Description: partial 16S ribosomal RNA
Rfam family: Bacterial small subunit ribosomal RNA
Source: RNAcentral
GAUGAACGCUGGCGGCGUGCCUAAUACAUGCAAGUCGAGCGAACGGACGAGAAGCUUGCUUCUCUGAUGUUAGCGGCGGACGGGUGAGUAACACGUGGAUAACCUACCUAUAAGACGGGGAUAACUUCGGGAAACCGUAGCUAAUACCGGAUAAUAUUUUGAAGCGCAUGGUUCAAAAGUGAAAGACGGUCGUGCUGUCACUUAUAGAUGGAUCCUCGCUGCAUUAGCUAGUUGGUAAGGUAACGGCUUACCAAGGCAACGAUGCAUAGCCGACGUGGGAGGGUGAUCGGCCACACUGGAACGGGAACACGGUCAGGACUCCUACGGGAGGCAGCAGUAGGGAAUCUUCCGCAAUGGGGGAAAGCCUGACGGAGCAACGCCGCGUGAGUGAUGAAGGUCUUCGGAUCGUAAAACUCUGUUAUUAGGGAAGAACAUAUGUGUAAGUAAAUGUGCACAUCUUGACGGUACCUAAUCAGAAAGCCACGGCUAACUACGUG